ACUAACCUGUUACAGGCUAACAACUGAAUGGCUGUUAUGGACUUACUGCAUACACCUAUCAUUUUGCACUAUGGUAAGGUGUAGACAAAAUUUCAGUGAGUUACAUGCAUUUGGGGCCUAGUACUUUGUUCUACUACUAUUGUGCUUUAAAUCCCAACAGUACCCAAAAAAAAAAAAUACAGUUGGCUAU
This is a long non-coding RNA of Nanorana parkeri, 190 nucleotides long. RefSeq lists it as uncharacterized. Lineage: Eukaryota; Metazoa; Chordata; Amphibia; Anura; Dicroglossidae. The record is from RefSeq and is a predicted model, not a curated record. The transcript has 3 exons.